This 1494-nucleotide long non-coding RNA is filed under the name Populus tremula. RNAcentral's name for it is "long non-coding RNA (PTRE_LNC002444)". Lineage: Eukaryota; Viridiplantae; Streptophyta; Magnoliopsida; Malpighiales; Salicaceae. The record is from RNAcentral.
ACGAACAAGAAAAGAACAAACGGAGAGAAAAACCAGAGAAGCACAGGAUAGAUAGAUAGAUAGAUAGAUAGAGAGAGAGAGAGAGAGAGAGAGAUAGAGAGAGAGAGAGAGAGAGAGAGAGAGAUAGAGAGAGAGAGAGAGAGAACCAGAGACACAGACAUGGAGGAACAAACAGGGCGAACCAGCACGGAAACAGGGACGCAAAACACAAAAGAAAACAGAGAGGAAACCAGAAGAACAAGCAAACACAAGAGACAAAGUAAACACAGACAGAACAAAAGGAGAAGAACGAAUAACACAGAGACGAGACGAAGAGCAGGAGACAGACAAAAAACACAAAGAGCCGGGAAGAAGAAGAAAAGGAAGGAAAGAAAAACAGAGUGAGGCACAGGAAGAGAAGGCUAAGGAACAGAGGAGAGGGGAGGCCAAUAGCAGAAAGACGAGCACUGAUCUUCUUCCAGGACUCCAGCAACAAAACACCACCUCCAGGUAAGCUCCUUUCGUUUCCCUCCCUUUAGAAAUAAUUACCCUGUCACUGUGCAAAGCAUGCGUGAAUAAUUCACGCAUGCAUGCACAGUGACCAGCCGGGCCGGACCAGUUAUCAAGUUCAGUUCAUAUGAGAUGAGUUAGAUCUAGAAAAAAAAAAAAAUGAGGUCAAGCUGGAUCUGGGCUUCAACCCAUCCAGUCCAAUUUGUUUUUGGGCAAGGAUGUGUUUUUAAAAACACUUUCUUAUGCUAAUCUUCUUAAUUUUAUUUAUUUGUUUUGAUAUUUGAUCAAACAAACUUCUUUUUUAUAUUAGAAAAUUUUAAAAAAAUUUGUGGACUUUUUUAAAUUUAUUUUUAGGUCCCUCCAGUAUUUGUUUCCUAACAAUUUCAUUAUAUAUUUAAUUUGUUGAUUUUUACUGUGAAAUAAUAAUAAUAAUAAUAAUAAUAAUAAUAAAUGAUGAUUUUUUAAUCUAAAAAGUAAAAUGUCGAAAAACAUGUUCUUUUCUGCAAAUAAAAAAUUUAAAAGUUACCAUAUCGAUACGAUAACCAGUAACUUCAAGAUUUAAUUAAAUUAAGUCUACCAGCAGACAACGGAAAUUAAAGAAAGAACCAGGAUGUACCUCUGUGUAUGAGCUUUCCUUUGCGCAGACAUCUGAAGUACAUGAAGAGGCCGAAGGUAAUCAGAGUAGUUGGAAUAGCCACAGCCAAGGUUGUCCGUAUUGUCCUUUUGAUAUUACCUACUUGUAAAUAUAGAGAUCAAAUAUUACAAAAUCAUAAACCAACACCUGUACAAUGGAUUAAGAAGUUUUUUUAUUGUAGAAAAAAUGGAAAGAUUGGUUAUGUAUCUCACUUUUUUCGACAGGGAACACUGCGUCUGCGUUUUUAUCUGAAAAUACAAGACCGUGAUUUUGUCAAAAAUGGUUUCUCGUCAUUUAUUGGAUCAUACUGUCUAUAUGUACAAAGCCAUACCUGUUCGGGUACUGCCAUUACCAAUCUGUAGUUCAAGCUC